UACGUAACAAGAAGAAAGAAAAAGAAAAUCCACCUGCUCCAUUCAUCUCCUCAAACUUGGUCAAUUACAAACACAAAAUGGAAGGAAAAAAAGGGUACAAUUUAUUUGCUUUAUAUAUUCUUGUAAUAAUUUCUGUGGUUCAAUAAGAGAGGAAGGGAUGAUGAACAACUGCUUCCCUUCUGAAAAUGAGACCAUAUAUACUUCAUACAAACAACCAAGUAAAGCUGUAACUUGUAAUUUUAUCUUUCUUUUCAAAAUAUCAACUUUAAUCUACACACUUUAGGAUAAGGAUCCUACAAAGCACUAACUGUAGCAUUCCACUACACCUUUUUCUGUCUAAUCCUUUACUACCUAACUACUAUACUGAAGAUUUCUGGUCUCUACUCUCAACAAUAUUUCAUCUUUUUCAAGGGUCCUCAACCACCUUUGGAGAACAAUAUGCAAUAGCCUCUGCAACGGUGAGGAAGAUCUUGUCCUCUCCUAUUGCGUUUACAAAAUUGGAUGCGUAAAGCUUCUCUGUCACUACUGGACCAGGAUUUGCCAGAACAAGCUUGCAUAAAAGGAAGAACUCACGGUAAGAUGCUAUGCUAGUUACAUAAUAUAUCAUUUUCUAAUCACUCAUGCAUACAUAUUUAUGAGCAUAUUAUUCUUGGCCAGAAGUUAAUUAGUUACCUCAACUCCUCUCUUUUCAAGACUUCUAUGUAACUCUUGGAAGGCUUGGAUGCCACUUGUAUCAAUAUCAGUAACGGCUGCAUCAUGAACACCAAACUCAAUAAAUAAUAAAAAAUUAACAAGACGAAAAUGAAGGUUUUACUCCGGGAAUUUGUAAGGGGUAUAACGAAUUUAGGAUUAAAAUAAAGACUCUCACGUGACAUUUCAACUAUCAAAAACUGGAUUUUUGUGGGGUAGUCUCCUUUCACUUUUUCUUCUUCAUCCGUCAGCCAUCUUAAUGUCCUGCAAAAGAGUAAUUAUUAGGCGACCUCAAUAUGCUAGAUUGAAGCACAGUUUCACAAAAUUACGUUAUAAUUCUCUUUUAAAUCAACCCUCACUCUUUUCCACCGGAUUUAUACCUCAUUGUAAUCACUCAAAUUUUGUGGCACCUUGAAAAGAUUAAGGGUUUUUUGUACAAUGACAAACUCUAUUCCUCUUUCUUUAUCAGUGUAAGAUAUAUUGGAUAGAGACUGGGUAUUUUUUUUCAUUAGUAACAAUGUUAGUAUUUUUACAUCGACAUCUAAAUUUUGUAGCAUGGUGCGUAUGGUGUUCCCUAUGUUUUGAAUCACAUAUCUGUUCUUAAUCCUUAGGCAUUUAGAUUACUGCCAAAAAGCUUUUUCAAUUAAGUUAGUGUUCAGAUUGGAUUGUUUCACUUCAGCUCAUUCAAAAGAGUAAAGUAUAAAACAAUUUCUCGUUGUAAACGAAUAAACAAAGGAGGAACAAGCCUUUACCUUUCUUUGACAUAAUUGGAGUUGGAAAAAUAUACCGCAGAAUCAACUCUCACAAUCAGUACACCUGGAACCUUACUAGCUUCUGGAUAUUGUUGGAUGUUUCUAUAGACAUUAGUCCUAGGAAUCUUCCCCAGAAUUGCGGUUCGGGGUCUUGUUACUUGUAGUAGGAUCUUUGCAAAGGAUAUACAGACCUGCCAUAGAAUGUAGCAAUUAACAUACGAAAUAAACAAGAUUAGUCAGAAAUUACUUUGACCUUUUAGAGCAAGAUAAGCAUUGAUUAUAGCACUUACAGCAAUUAGAAGUCCUAUCUCAACCGAGACAAAAACAACGCCAAAGAAUGCACCCAUGCAAGCGACAAAGUCAAAUUUAUCUAUCUUCCAAAUCAAAAUUGCUGCCUCAUAGUCUAUAAGGUUGACGACAGCAGAAAUGAUGAUGGCAGAAAGAAUGGCAUUUGGAGUGUACUUAAAAAGUGGAGUGAUGAAUUCCAGGGUUAAGAACACAACUACUGACAUCACAAUGUUAGAGACUGCAGUUUGGCAGCCAGCCAUGAAAUUUACUGCUGACCGAGAGAAAGAACCUGAAGGUAACAAAAGUAUAGAUCAGGGGAUAAAAAACUACAUAAAUCACUAGACUACAAGAUAAACGUAGUCUCAAAUUCUCUUUAUGUACAGGUAGACAUUAAACUCUAUAGGAAUAGAUCCAACUUUAUCUCCUAGUAUUUUGUUUUUUCCAUUUUUGUUUGGUAUUUUAAAGCUAAAAGAAGAUAUUUAUGAAACAUGACCACCUUUACAUAUUUCUUAGACAUGCAAUUUUUAUGACAAUAGUAGAUAGAUACAUAAACCUUGUCUACGAGCUUACCAGUUGCCACAUAACAGGAAGUCAUUGAACCAACAAUAUUCAUUGUUCCUAGUGCAACCAUUUCUUUGUUUCCAUCCAGUUGAUAGUCCUUCAUAGAUGCAAAUGUUCUUCCAAUUGCCGAGGCUUCCUGGCCAUCGAAAUGUAAUGGUUUAAUUAGAACUACAUGAAUAAAAUGGACAACUCUUUAAGAGAGGUAUUGGUGUCAAAGUUACUCACAGUCAAUGCUAUCAUGCCUGCCACGAUGCCAACUUUAAAACCUUUUCCAAGGUUUUCUCCUGUUAAAUAAAGAUCUUUAACAGAUGAUGGAUUGAUUCCUCUUUCUAUUUUUCUCACCUUCACAUAUCAAUGACAAAAACUUCAAUUAUGAUGUAACUAAUAUUAUGACACUUUCGCCAUCAGUUGUUCCUAAAAUACGUUAUCAGUCUUUUGAUGAGAAUGAACAUAUACUUACAAUUUCUACUCCUUUCUUAUCUGCACGGGUUAUGAAUACAAAAAAAGUGGACAAAAUAACGGAUAUCAAUGGAGCAAUUGCUGGCAGCCAGAAUAAUCUCCUGUUUUUCUUUCCCUGACGCACAUAAUAUGAAUGAAUGAGAAAACAAUUUACAAACUCCUAACGAUUAGUUAGUGAAUAAUAGCAAAGUGCAUAAAGGGGAGGUAUAAUGCCUUACAAUGUAUUUGGUGACCAGAAGAAAACCCAAAAAACUAGCUCCAAUGACUAUAGUUUCCCAGUUCCACUGCAAGAUAAAGUGUUAUAAAUUAUUGGUCAAUUUUGUGUUCAACACACAGAUAACAGUAACACUAACAGUUGGCUAUCUAAAUUUAGGCACGGACUUGUUCAGAUUAGGAUUCCUGGUAAUUAAUAAUUUGCAUGUAUAUUGAGAGAGAGAGAAGGAGAGUAUACUCCAUGAUGGGCUGUAUGGAAUACUGAAUGCAGCACAGAGACAAUAUCAGUUUUCGUUGUGAACAUUUUAGUUUUAAUGCCAAGGAAACCUUUGAGCUGUUGAAGGGAAAUUGUGAUAGCAGCACCCCCCAUAAAACCGACAAUAGCAGCAUGGGAUAGGAAGUCUAUCAAGAAUCCUAACCUGGUUAAAUAAAUAAAUAAAUAAAUAAGGCAACUAUGGUGUGAUAUUAAACAGUGUAACAUUAGUUGUAACUGGUAGCGGUUGCACAAGACAUAAACUUCAGUGAUUGAAAUGUCCAAAUGCAAAAUCCAUAUAUUGGGCGGUAGUGUUGUCAUACCUAAGAACACCAAGCGUUGCUUGAGUAAUCCCAGCAAAAAAAGUGGCUGUAAAAGCAAGUCGCUGAUAUUCUUCCGCAUUUUUAAUAGGAUCAAACUCAUUACUAAGUAGGGUCCCCAACAAGAGAGAAACCACUGCUACAGGUCCUAUAGCAAUAUCACGAGAGCUACCCAUGACAGCAUAGAUCAAUGGUGGAACAAAACUUGAGUCUGUAAACGGGUAGAAAGAACAAAAUACAAAAGGAUCAGUCUAACGUGCAAAGAAAAAAAUGAGCUGCUGGUGAGAGGCAAGUACAGUCUUACACAGUCCAUACUGUGGAGACAAAUGUGCAAGCUUGGCGUAUCCAAUAUCCUGUUUUUCAGCCAAACAUUAGAAGUUAGAACCGUGUAAAAUGGGGCAUGCAACAGGAAUUAUUCUCAUAGCCUUCAAAACUUGAAAUCCACAGUAAAGCAAAUUUAAAUACCUGAGGAAUGCAAAGACUUGCAAUAGUGAGACCAGAUAUUAAAUCCCCUCUAAAUUUUUUAAGGUUGUAACUUCUUCCCCACUUAAGUAUUGGAAAUAUGGCCUCAAUACCGAGGAUGAACUUCCUUGAUAUAGAUUGAUCUUUGAAGGGUCUUAGAGGAUCAUCAGCAAAGAAUGUUUCUUUAAUGGUGGCUUGGAAUUCCUUGAAGAGGUUCUGUCUUGGAGGAACUGCCACUUUGUAGACUUGUGGUACCUGACCAUGUGAAGAAGACGACAUACUUCUCAGAUCGAUCUCUUUGGUUUCAAGAUUCUGAUCAGAAGGACGGCCCAUUGAAGUCAUCAACCGGGACCUUCAGUCUGUAAUACAGGGAAAAGUCGUAACCAGAAAAAACUGGGAAAAAUAAGGACAUCAAGGAGUGUGAUUGAUUAGCAAUCACAAAAUAUGGUUUAUACUGCAUGCAAUAAUGAAGUUUACCAUGUUGCUUAAAGCUAUAAUAUAUAGUCCAAUAAUGAAGAUAAUCAGGCACCUACUAUGGAAUUUUAGAUGUUGAUUUGUGACUGAUAGAUUUUGAAAUGCUUACUAACCUGAAUAGAAGAGGAGGGGAUACGUGAUAAAAGAUUUGAAUGGUCACUGGUUCAAACUGUAAUGUCUACUUAAACAGGUAAGGUGUGGAUUAUAACCUCAAAGACUUUAUCUUUCAGGUCAAUGUUAUCAAGCUGGGAUUGGAAAACAAGACUAUAUAUGUGUGAACCGGAUCGAAUGAAUACAAGUCAAAAUCAUACAUUACAAUGCUUAACAUUCAAUCCUGACCAAACUACCCUGGAAUUCCCAAGUCAGACAUUCUUCUUCUAGCAAGUAUCUAUCGUAACUUCAGAAGAACGACGGAGAAUACAAUAAGUAUUGUACGUUUUGGGAACCUUAGUACAGCUAGAAGUUAAUAAAAUCAAAUUACAACAUGCAAUUUCUAUGUGCUUUUAGUAAAAUGCAAGAAGUCAAUAAAGUUCAAAUAAAGAAAAAGACAAAGAAAUUAAACAUGUCAAUGGCAACCAUCCAUUGGAAGUACUAAUUCUUGGGAGAGGAAUUGUUAGCCGAUUUAUUGUCAAAUCUCAAGACUAAUUUGAUCAAAAGAAAGAUUUCGCAGAUUUUAUGAUGACUAUCAACAUCUCUAAUGUAAGCUAAAGAUAAUCAGAGAAUAGAGUUCAUAUUAAGGAAGAGCGAUGGCAAAAUUUGUAUCCAGUAGUAAAUGGUCUUUGUUUGAACCUCUUCAUAAGCCCGAGCACGAGUGAACUCACGCACAAGUCCCUCUCACUUACGAACCAUAGGUACAAAAUUCUCAAUUAUCAUCCUUUUUAAUUCCAGAACAAUUAAAAACACGUAACUCUCAGACAAGAUUAGAAAGGAAUCAAAUUCUUAAACCUCAAUAGAAUUUAAAAAACCAUUAAGUCACUCCAAAGGGAAAUAAACAAUAUUCAACAAGUCCAAAGUCCAAAUCGUGUUUUGACUGAACAACAGAGCACAAUAAUUGAAUCUCAAUAAAUCGCUUCCUAAUGUGAAAACAAAUAUAUAAUUAUCACACCCUUGAUCCAUAAUUUACAUCCAUAAUAUGCAUUCUACAAACACUAAUAUCUAAUACCAUUUACCUGAUUUCACUUUAUGUGGCUGCAGGGUAAAACAGUAAAGAACAUGACAGCAUAAUUCAUUCAGAACCAGACAACCAAAAUGUGGACUUUUUCCAACUCUCAGCCCUUUGUGAUUUACGAACCACCAAGUGCUUAUUCCAAAAUCGUUUGGAGAAUAAAGUCCAAAAUAGACUCCCAACAAACACAACCUUCUUAGGCUUCUCAUGCAAGCCAUUGCCAGUGGAGGAUUCCAAUUACACUAACACCAAAAGUAUUCUUUUUUGUUCACAGACUCACUUUAACCCUUCCCGUGUCAGAAUUCAUGUAAAAGCACAAAAGAAAAAAUUACAAAGACAGAAUGACCCACAACACACGGAAGUGAAAAUAAAAAACACUAACUAUCAAACAGACAAAUUUUUACAUGCUAGACAUG
RNAcentral lists this long non-coding RNA (6053 nucleotides) under Vigna radiata. Its description in RNAcentral is "long non-coding RNA (VRAD_LNC003762)". Lineage: Eukaryota; Viridiplantae; Streptophyta; Magnoliopsida; Fabales; Fabaceae. The record is from RNAcentral.